GGUCAUGUGGCCUAGUGGUCAUUGCAUCUGCCCGGUAAGCGGAAGGUCGUGGGUUCGAUUCCCAUCCCUUGACACU
This 76-nucleotide transfer RNA is filed under the name Cordylochernes scorpioides. Its description in RNAcentral is "tRNA-Thr". It matches the Rfam family "tRNA". From Rfam's summary of the family: Transfer RNA (tRNA) molecules are approximately 80 nucleotides in length. Their secondary structure includes four short double-helical elements and three loops (D, anti-codon, and T loops). The record is from RNAcentral. Lineage: Eukaryota; Metazoa; Arthropoda; Arachnida; Pseudoscorpiones; Chernetidae.